CAAUAGUUGGGGGUCUUAUUUGGCGGCGGCUGCUGGCUUAAUUGUUGGCGGCUGCUGCUGAGUGAGCCCUAUCAAAAAAAAGGCGAACGUUUGGGCUUCGGCCUGAUUUAGUAGUCUUUUUUUCUUUUAAACCCAUUCCUUAAUACUGAAUAUACUGUGGGGACGAAAGUCUCUGCUUUUAACUAGAUAGCAACUUUCAGCAGUGGAUGUCUAGGCUCGCACAUCGAUGAAGAACGCUGCGAACUGCGAUACGUAAUGCGAAUUGCAGGAUUCAGUGAGUCAUCGAAAUUUUGAACGCAUAUUGCACUUCCGGGUUAGUCCUGGAAGUAUGCCUGUAUCAGUGUCCGUACAUUAAACUUGACUUUCUUCCUUCCGUGUAGUCGGUGGAGGAGAUGUCAGAUGUGAAGUGUCUUGCGAUUGGUCUUCGGACCGGCUGCGAGUCCUUUUAAAUGUACUAAACUGAACUUCUCUUUGCUCGAAAAGUGGUGGCGUUGCUGGUUGUGAAGGCUGCUAUUGUGGCAAAUUGGCGACUGGUUUGUCUGCUGCGGCGUUAAUGGAAGAGUGUUCGAUUCGUGGUAUGGUUGGCUUCGGCUGAACAAUGCACUUAUUGGACGUUUUUCCUGCUGUGGCGUGAUGGACUGGUGAACCAUAGCUCGGUGGCUUGGCUUUUGAAUUGGCUUUGCUGUUGCGAAGUAGGGUGGCAGCUUCGGUUGUCGAGGGUCGAUCCAUUUGGGAACUUAAUGUGUACUUCGGUAUGCAUCUCAAUUGGACCUGAUAUCA
This is a ribosomal RNA of 780 nucleotides. The stretch from base 192 to 346 matches the Rfam family "5.8S ribosomal RNA".